UCCCCUAGUAACGGCGAGUGAAGCGGGAAGAGCUCAAAUUUAAAAUCUGGCUUGCUUGCAAGUCCGAGUUGUAGUCUGAAGAAGCGUUUUCCAUGAAAGCUGAGGCACAAGUCCUUUGGAACAGGGCAUCAUAGAGGGUGAGAAUCCCGUCCAUGGUCUCAUGCAUUUCAUUUUGUGAUACGUUUUCUAAGAGUCAGGUUGUUUGGGAAUGCAGCCUAAAAUGGGUGGUAAAUUUCAUCUAAAGCUAAAUAUUGGCGAGAGACCGAUAGCGAACAAGUACCGUGAGGGAAAGAUGAAAAGAACUUUGAAAAGAGAGUUAAAAAGUACGUGAAAUUGUUGAAAGGGAACCGUUUGAAGCCAGUCUUGCUUACUUGUGAUCAAUCUUAGCUUCGGCUUGGAUGCACUCUCAAGUUAUGCAGGUCAACGUCAGUUUGAGAGGUGGGAAAAAAGUUUGAGGAAUGUGGCCUUCGGGUGUUAUAGCCUCUUACUAAAUACCAUCUCUUGGACUGAGGCUCGCAGCAAAAAUGUGGGUUGGUUUGCUCCUGAGGUGAAUCAUUAUUAAGACAGCUUGCUGACUUAGUUUUGUGGAUCUUCACGGUAGGCCAGCUUCUAAUUUGCUUAGGUCGUUGACAUAAUGGCUUUAAAUGACCCGUCUUGAAACACGGACCAAGGAGUCUAACAUAUAUGCGAGUAUUUGGGUGGCAAACCCACAUGCGCAAUGAAAGUGAAACUAGGUGCCAAACCCGCAAGGGUGGCAGCAUCGGCCGGCUCUGACGUUUCUAACUGACGAGUCUGAGCAGAAGCAUACAUGUUGGGACCCGAAAGAUGGUGAACUAUGCCUGAAUAGGGUGAAGCCAGAGGAAACUCUGGUGGAGGCUCGUAGCGAUUCUGACGUGCAAAUCGAUCGUCAAAUUUGGGUAUAGGGGCGAAAGACUAAUCGACCAUCU
This 947-nucleotide ribosomal RNA is filed under the name Umbelopsis ovata. RNAcentral describes it as "LSU rRNA". It matches the Rfam family "Eukaryotic large subunit ribosomal RNA", at positions 76 to 945 of the family's 3401-position model. Lineage: Eukaryota; Fungi; Mucoromycota; Umbelopsidomycetes; Umbelopsidales; Umbelopsidaceae. The record is from RNAcentral.